This 272-nucleotide long non-coding RNA is filed under the name Salvia miltiorrhiza (redroot sage). RNAcentral's name for it is "long non-coding RNA (SMIL_LNC001415)". The record is from RNAcentral. Lineage: Eukaryota; Viridiplantae; Streptophyta; Magnoliopsida; Lamiales; Lamiaceae.
UUCGAAGAGGGGAGGCGGCGACCGGAAAAAGACUAAGAGCGGCUGUGAAGCACGGCGGACUGGAGGCUCUGCGGAAAAGCACGACGCUGGUGUAGAUUGUAUCGGACGGCGCAGCGCGGUUUGAUUAGAUUAAUGCGGUGGACGAUUGGCUUUGGAAUAAAUCAAUGUAAGAGAAACUAUGGGUUAGGGUUUGCCGAUGAGAGUGAGGAUCAUAAACUUGAUUCGGAGAUAAUGGAUUGAGUUGGAGAAGAAUUAGAACUUUAAUUAAUUUU